UUUUUUUUUUUUUUUUUUUUAAAGUAAGUGCUAUACCCAACAAGGGGCUUGAACUCAUGACCCCAAGAUCAAGCGUUGUGUGCUCUACUGACUAAACCAGCAAGUGCCCUCUUUUUAUGUGAUUCAACCAGGGGAUUCUUCUGUGUGUACUUGAAGAAGGUGUGCAUUCUAUUUUUCUUGGAUAGAAUUUUUUUUUAUAUUAGAACCAACCAUGUAUUCUGAAGUAUGCUUCAUGUGAAGAAUAUUCUUGUUGAAAAAAAGACAGUAACUUUAACUGAGGUUACUGCUUUAAAAUAAAACAUAUCAGAGGGGCAGUGGGUGAAAUAGGUAAAGAGGAUUAAUAGUACACUUAUGAUGAGCCCUGAGUAAUGAUGUAUGGAGUUGUUGAAUCAUUAUAUUGUACAUCUGAAACAAGUAUAAAACUGUAUCUUAACUAUACUGGAAUUAAAAACUUAAUUUGAAAAAAAUUUGUUUUCAGAAUUUUCAUGGUGUACAUUUUGGUAUACAUUCUCAGAUGAAUUUAUCAUGGUAAUGAUAUAUAAAAGAAAAACUUAGUUUCAGCGAAACAAUGCCCAAAAUAUGAAGCUAGUAUUAUUAAUUAAAAUUUAUUAGAUACAUUAUUAUGUAUGUAUUUACUUUUAUGUUUUUAUCUAUGAGCUAUAAAUACCAGAAAUGUAUUGUUGACUUUAUGUUUAUAUUCAUUUAGGAAAUAUUAUAAUAAAAAUAAGUUAAUACUGGCAACUUCAAAAAGAAAAAAGUUAGGGAUUGAGAGAUGACCAAAUUGAGUAUAGUUUUGUAAUCAGCCAGUUGGGAACUCCUUACUGUGGAUUUUAGAGAUGGUAAAUUUUGGUUGAGCUGAUUAUCAGUUUUCUGUGUAGAAGGUAGUCAGAGAUGGAUGUUCAUUUGGACACAUACAUGUAAAUGUACCCAGUGAAGUUCAGUUCCAUGGUCAGGCCCAGCAGCUGGGGAUCCACCUGGGGAAUUUUGACUAAUCUACACAAUAGAAAUUAUAUUUGAGUAAGCACACUUUGUAGGUAAGCGAUUAUGUAGGCUUACGUUGUUAUUUAUGUGUUUCCAACAUUGACUUUAUAAAUUAUAUAUAGUCAAGGACUGUUGGGAUUAUAUACCCCAUAGUCUGCUGGAGGCUUGGGAAGGAGGCAGUCUAUUGACACACUGAUCCCUUAGGGCUUAGGUUAAGCAUCUCUUAGUGCUUAUUAGAAUUAGGGUAGGAUAGAGCACAAAUGCAUUUUUGCUGCAUUGUUAAGGGGUAAGAACUUGUCACAGGGAUAGGAAUAACCUCCGUGUUUGAUAAAGCAGCUGGUCACAGGGAUAGGAAUAACCUCCAUGUUUGAUAAAGCAGCUGGUCAGAGAUUAAUAGGGAAGCCUAUGAAUAGGCUCAAAAUGGUAUUGGGGCCUGGGAAAAAAAGCAAAAUAAAAUUACAUUAUUGAAUAAGAAUGUGUAAGGUACUGGUGUGAAUAAUAAAAUAAGCUGAGUAGAGUGUAUUUUGAAGUUAAUAUUCAUUUUCCAUUAACAGAUGUUUUCUAAGGGCCUGUUAGAUGAUCAGCAUUGUGCUGAAUACUGGGGUUGCAGUUAUAAACAGGACAAAGGGUCUCCAGCCUUUGUGGAGAGAUUAUGUUUCAGCUGUGAAGACAGACGGGGACUUGUAUUUAAAGAAACCCCAAACUGCCUUACAGAAAGGGAAAACAGAUAUACAGAAAUAAUAAUUACCAUGAGGAAAACAAACAAAGGAUGAGUUUUAGAGCGGGAUUCUACUUGGGUUUGGAAGGCUUUCCUGAGGAGAUGAUAUCUAAACUGAGACUUAAUGAAGAAAAGGUGCUAGCUACAAAAGGUGUGCAGGACUCUCGGGGUACCAAACUGCAUGCGUGAAGACUCUAUAGCCAGGUAUGUGCUCUGGUGUUCAGGGAACUGAAAGAAGUCUGAUGUGGCUGGACUGAAGGGCAGUGGAAGUAGGCAGAGGAAUGCUGUGGCACAAGGUAAGAUUGAAAAAUGAGGCUAGGGUCAAAUCCAGUAGAGUUUGGCUGUUAGGAAAAUUGUCUGGCUGCUAGACUAGAAGAGCAGAGUAUAAGAUUGGAGGCUGAUAGUAUAGUCAUCCAGGUAAGAGAGGGUGGUAUUCUGGUUUAGGGUGGUAACAGUAAAGAUGGAAAGAGGGAAACUGGAAGUAUAUUUUUCUUUUCUUUUUUCUUUCUUUCUCUCUCUCUCUCUCUUUUUUUUUUUUUUUUUUAGAAAUUUCAUUUAUUUAUUUGGCAGAGAGAGAGAGAGCACAAGCAGGGUGAGCAGCGGGCAGAGGGAGGGGCAGAAGCAGGCUCCCUGCUGAGGAAGGAGCCCAAAGUGGGGCUUGAUCCCAGAACUCUGGGAUCAUGACCUGAACUGAAGGCAGACACAUAACAAGCUGAGCCCACCUAGGGCCCCUGGAGGUGUAUUUUUUGAAGAAGAAUUGACAAGCUGAUGGAUAGACAACAGAGGUGGUGGUGGGGGUAUGUUAGAGGAAAGAGCGAAAUUAACAGGUUUGAGUCUAUUGGGGGAAAUGGUGGUACCUGUUCUGAAAUGGGGAAGAUUCAUGGUGGGAAGUAGUUUGGCAGACAGGAUCAAGAAUCUGAAGUAGGAACAGCAUGAUUUGCAGAUGUUGUGUCACCAGGGCAAUGUGACUGUAAUAUUGUGCCUAGAGCUGGCUCUUCUCAACUGUGUAGAUAGCCCUGUGAAGAUUUGGCCUUGCUGACAGGGAAACCAGAACUAGGUAUUGGCUUCUUCUGAGGCAGGCUGGACAUGUGAAUAGUCCUCAGGGUCUCUGCCUGCUUUGUAGGAAUAGGCGGACAGGCUCAGCCUGCCGGGCAGUGCCCUCUUUACACUCAACAAGACUCUUUGUUACUGCCCUCAGUGCUGCUGGGGCAGUGCCCAGCCCCUCUCUUGAGGUGCCCUGUUGGUUGCUCUCCUUGUCCCACUUUCGUCCCCACCCUAGAUAGACUGAGGGCAUUUUUGCUGUUUUUAAACUAUAGUAGAUAGAUUUGAUUAGUUCCUGAUUGCAAUGAAAGCACGGAAAAAAAAAAGAAAUAAAAGCACAGAAUAUGAAAAAUACUAAACUUAAUCUGAAAAAAAGAUACAGAGUUGGGUUUAGUUAGGCAAAGCAUCUAUCAAGGUUGAUCAAACCACAAAUUAGUAUUUAUAAUAUUCUCUUAAGCUGUUUGCCUGGGCAUGGAGAAAAAAUAAAAUGAAAUAGAUGAGUUGCUGAUUUUUAUGGGAAAGAUAAUUUUAGUCUGGAAAUUUAAAGUAACUUUUUAGUCUUUAAUAUAGCAAAGAUAUGUAUCUACAAACAGAGUUGUAAAUAUACCAUGGUCAUUUUUUUUAAAGAUUUUAUUUAUUUAUUAGAGAGAGAGAGAGAGAGAGAGAGAGGCAGAGACACAGGCAGAGGGAGAAGCAGGCUCCGUGCAGGGAGCCCGACGUGGGACUGGAUCCUGGUUCUCCAGGAUCAUGCCCUGGGCUGAAGGCGGCGCUAAACCAUUAAGCCACCAGGGCUGCCCAUCCAUGGUCAAUUUUACUAAAAAAAAAAAAAAAAAAAGUUCUGUUUUGGAUAUAUUAAAUGUAAAAUAUGAGACAUUCAGAUAAAAAUGCCAGACAGGCAGUUGAACAUGCAUUGGAGAGCCAAAACUAUCAAUUUGAAGUUGCCAUUAUAAAGAUACUUAAGUCCACUGAAAUGACGAAUAUAUGUACAGAAAGGGUAUAGAAAAAAAGAUGACCCAGGACCAAAGGACCAAGCCUUCUGACAUCAUAGCACUUAGAGAUGAAUAAAGAGGAAGGAGUUUGUCUUCUAGGGAGUAGGGGGAAAACCAGGAGAGUACUUAAUUCUUAGUUGAGUAGGUCUGAAAUUGAUCAUGAGUAAAAUUUUCAAGUGAAUAAAAAAGUGGAAUAAGAUUGUAAUUAUUUACUCUCCUUCCCAGGACAGUAAUAAGUAAAUAAAGAUUAUCAAGUUACAUGGAAAUUUCAAGAGCACAGUUGACUCUUGAAUAAUGGAGGGGUUAAGGUCACCAACUCCCUCCCCCCCCCCCCCCCCCGUUAAAAAAUCCGCAUACAACUUUUGACGCCCCCAGAACUUAACUACUAAUAGCCUACUGUUCGCCAGAAGCCUUACCGAUAAGAUAAACAAUUGAUUAACACAUAUUUUAUAUGUUACAUGUAAUACACUCUGUAUUCUUACUGUAAACUAGAGAAAAAAUGUUAAAAAAAUAAAAAACA
RNAcentral lists this long non-coding RNA (4249 nucleotides) under Canis lupus familiaris (dog). RNAcentral describes it as "lncRNA (ENSCAFG00000057744.1)". Lineage: Eukaryota; Metazoa; Chordata; Mammalia; Carnivora; Canidae. The record is from RNAcentral.